GUUCAGCCAAUAAGAUGUCACUUGGACUUCCAAUUACAUUUACAUUUUACAAUCAAAGUGAUGUUAAUCACUUUGGUUGCAUAAUGUUGGCCUGCCUAUAAAUCCAACAACUUUCUUGUUGGGACAAACACAGCAUUGUUGGGUCAUACAAGCAUUGUAUCCAGACCAAGAGAAGCACAGAAAGACAAAAUGGGACUCCUUUUCUUACUUGUUAUUGGUGCAGUUUCAGGCCCAGCUGCAGUGAUUGUUGCACCCGCUAUUACGGUCGCCGCUGCUGUCGCGGUGACCAGUAGCACUGCAACGGCAGCAGCCACUGCAACGGCAGCAGGCAUUGCAGCGACUAUCUUGUGAGUCUUGAAGGACCACCUUGAACCAUGUCAAACCAUUUCAAAUGCUCCAACGCAGCGCCGUUGGAAAGAAUAAAAUGUAACUCCCCU
Doryrhamphus excisus (bluestripe pipefish) is the source of this 437-nucleotide long non-coding RNA. RefSeq lists it as uncharacterized. The record is from RefSeq and is a predicted model, not a curated record. NCBI's taxonomy places the organism in Eukaryota, Metazoa, Chordata, Actinopteri, Syngnathiformes, Syngnathidae.